AGAACAAGUGACGAGUACAGCCUACUGAGCUUUGCCCCUGUUCUCCCUUGAAAACCCCAUGGGCUAAUGGAGGGAUUACUCACAGUCCUGUGACGAUCUGUGGCGGAAGGUAAACCGAAGGUGACUGCGGUUGACAUCCUCAAUGGGAAUGGCCACCUGCAGAGUGGAAAACGGAACUUUCAGCACCUGUACCAGUAUCUUCUCACAUCAGUGGCCCUGUCUAACUGCAGAUACGGUGCAACCACGCACAACUCGUCACUGCAGUGAUGAAAACACUGGAUACCUAAUCCCCCGUACGACUUUCCAAAGCAAAACGCCUUCUGAAAAUUUAAACUAGGUAAUAUUGCAAAGGACGCCAAACCAACCCUGCGAGACAGCAGAGGUUUUCGUAAACAUUCAGAUCCUCCCUGUUAAGAGUCUACGUUUACGAGUCGCCGUUUUCCUUGGCAGCCCUUCUUGGAGGUGCCCACGCAUCCUCCACAGCCGCGGGGACCUGCCCUCGGCGGCAGGAGCAAAGCUGGCUUGUCAUGACUUCCAGUCCAAGGAGACCCAACGCGCGCUGCCCUUCGGCAAAGACUGUCCCUAAAAACUCUCAUAUCUGACAUCUGUGUGGUAGAGCCAACCCUUGGCCGGGGUCUCAAGUAUUCGAGCCCUUGGCACGUGGGCUGGGGGAGUGCCACGCUGGGCUGCCGUGGUGACGUCAGCGUGCCGCGUGAGGAAAGCAGAGUACGACACCACGGAAGGGGAUUCGUCUCCCCAGCGAUCCCCUCCAUACGCUGUCACCACUAUUUUUUUCCAUUUGGUGUAAAGACAGCAGGCCACACAUCAAACAGACCCGAGAAGAGAAAGAUAAUAGCUAUCUUUAAAGGACCCUGUCAUUUGUCUCCAUGAAAGUCCUAUUUUUAUGUCCAAGAGGAGAUGAGAGUAAAUGUAUUCCAAGAAAUGCCA
Molecule: long non-coding RNA, 948 nt
Filed under: Lynx pardinus (Iberian lynx)
Lineage: Eukaryota; Metazoa; Chordata; Mammalia; Carnivora; Felidae
Source: RNAcentral